UCUGGGACAAGCCCUGGAAACGGGGUCUAAUACCGGAUGACACUUCCUUCCGCAUGGGAGGGGGUUGAAAGCUCCGGCGGUGCAGGAUGAGCCCGCGGCCUAUCAGCUUGUUGGUGGGGUGAUGGCCUACCAAGGCGACGACGGGUAGCCGGCCUGAGAGGGCGACCGGCCACACUGGGACUGAGACACGGCCCAGACUCCUACGGGAGGCAGCAGUGGGGAAUAUUGCACAAUGGGCGAAAGCCUGAUGCAGCGACGCCGCGUGAGGGAUGACGGCCUUCGGGUUGUAAACCUCUUUCAGCAGGGAAGAAGCGAAAGUGACGGUACCUGCAGAAGAAGCGCCGGCUAACUACGUGCCAGCAGCCGCGGUAAUACGUAGGGCGCAAGCGUUGUCCGGAAUUAUUGGGCGUAAAGAGCUCGUAGGCGGCUUGUCACGUCGGAUGUGAAAGCCCGGGGCUUAACCCCGGGUCUGCAUUCGAUACGGGCAGGCUAGAGUGUGGUAGGGGAGAUCGGAAUUCCUGGUGUAGCGGUGAAAUGCGCAGAUAUCAGGAGGAACACCGGUGGCGAAGGCGGAUCUCUGGGCCAUUACUGACGCUGAGGAGCGAAAGCGUGGGGAGCGAACAGGAUUAGAUACCCUGGUAGUCCACGCCGUAAACGUUGGGAACUAGGUGUUGGCGACAUUCCACGUCGUCGGUGCCGCAGCUAACGCAUUAAGUUCCCCGCCUGG
Molecule: ribosomal RNA, 727 nt
Filed under: Streptomyces sp.
Lineage: Bacteria; Bacillati; Actinomycetota; Actinomycetes; Kitasatosporales; Streptomycetaceae
Description: bacterial SSU rRNA
Rfam family: Bacterial small subunit ribosomal RNA
Source: RNAcentral